Molecule: ribosomal RNA, 468 nt
Filed under: uncultured bacterium
Lineage: Bacteria
Description: partial 16S ribosomal RNA
Rfam family: Bacterial small subunit ribosomal RNA
Source: RNAcentral
GACGAACGCUGGCGGCGUGCUUAACACAUGCAAGUCGAACGGUGAAGGAAUAGUUUUCUCUUCUGCUUCAGUGGCGAACGGGUGAGUAACACGUGAGUAACCUGCCCUUGACUCUGGGAUAACCUCUGGAAACUGCGGCUAAUACCGGAUAGGAGACCGAGCUGCAUGGCUAGGGUUGGAAAGUUUCGUCGGUCGGGGAUGGACUCGCGGCCUAUCAGCUUGUUGGUGGGGUAGCGGCUUACCAAGGCAACGACGGGUAGCCGGCCUGAGAGGGUGACCGGCCACACUGGGACUGAGACACGGCCCAGACUCCUACGGGAGGCAGCAGUGGGGAAUAUUGCACAAUGGGCGAAAGCCUGAUGCAGCGACGCCGCGUGAGGGAUGACGGCCUUCGGGUUGUAAACCUCUUUCAGCAGGGAAGAAGCGAAAGUGACGGUACCUGCAGAAGAAGCACCGGCUAACUACGUG